UUUUUAAUAGGUAGUCUUCCACUGAGAGAGAGAUCUCUCAGUAUACCAUUGAUUUCCUAAUUUCCCUCACCAAAUUUCUUAAACCUUUCUCAUGAUCUGUACUUCCUUUUUCUGAUUGAAUCGAAUCAUCACGUAUUCUGUUCUUGAUCUGUAUACCAUUGAUUUCCUGAUUUCCGUCACCAAAUUUCUUAAACCUUUCUCAUGAUCUUUGCUUCCCUUUUCCUAAUUUCCCUUUUCUGACUUGUGCCAAUCAUAUCGUAUAGUGUUCUUGAUCUGUAUCUUUCUUGCUUGAAAGGUAAAUCCUACUUUCUUUUCUCGUUUUCUACCACUAAUUUUGUUUCAAAUAAGAUUUUCCCAUUUGGUUGUAGAAUAAAUAAGUAGGAUUGUAUAUUGAUCAGGUAGAACUUAAUUAUAUGUGUUGCUUAAUCUAUCUUAGAACUCAAAACUCAUAUUAUAGCUUUGUUCUUACAUGUUCAUAUUGCCACCAACUUCAACUACUUGUCUUAAAAACAGGUGCUCUCAAGGUUUCUUUUGUCUGUUGAGUGCCUCUUGUCAGCUUGAUAGGUUACUAGUUUGCCUACUCUUUCUCAUAUUCUUGUGCUUGCAUUUUCAGCUCAGCUUUCCCAGAGUUUCAACGUUGGGGUGCGUCCACACGUUUCCUCACUCAGCAAUUAGCUUCAGAUUCUUUUGUUAAAAUUCUUUUGAAUCCAGGUAAAGUAUUUAUAUGUCACGACCCGAAUCUUUUGACAAGUAACUAUUGUUUGAAUCUUUUUAAGUAAAACACAAGUUGUACAAAUUGGCCUUAUGGAGUUCAUCAAUAGUUUAUCAUCNNNNNNNNNNNNNNNNNNNNNNNNNNNNNNNNNNNNNNNNNNNNNNNNNNNNNNNNNNNNNNNNNNNNNNNNNNNNNNNNNNNNNNNNNNNNNNNNNNNNAUUCUUUGCUGUUUUUAACUUAUUAUUUUAGUUUCAACCUUUCCUUUUCUGAUCGAUGUAACUUACAUUAAUUUUAUUCAAUAUUUUGACUCUGUUUUUAUAUAUAGGGCAAAAUGGUUCAAUCAAAUGACCCAUUUUGGCACCAUGUUGAGGAGAUGAAGUGUAUGUAUUGUGGGCAUCAAUUUGCUAAGGAUACUUCCAUUUCAAGGAUCAAAUGGCAUUUAUCAGGAGAGAAAGGGCAUGGUGUUGCAAUUUGUGACAAAGUGACUGAAGACGUUCAAGAAGCAGCUUUUCAAGCUAUGCAUGGUGGCAACAAGAGACAUAAAAGCAUAGCAAGUUCAAGCAAUGUUAAUGAUAAUGCCAUUUCAACCACUCCACAAGAACAAAACAAUAAUGAAGUCGACAAUUUGGCAGGAGAUGCAGGAAGGACACAAGCACCAGAUACAAUGGGUCAAGCGCUUGAAAGACGUUUGGAAGAGUUCGAUAGAUGGUUAAUGGAGGAUGAUAUCGAUAAUGGGACUGGAGGAGUAGUGCAGCCUGGUGCAGGAGCUAGCUCUUCUGGAGGGCUUACAUGCAACACAAAUGAGACUCCAGGAGACGCAGUACCAACGACAAAGCUGGUGGGUCAAGCAUUCGAAGACCAUAAGAAGACUAUCUGGUCUUGGUUGAUGCACGAUGAAGUUUCAACUAUUGGCAUCUAUGGGAUGGGCGGAGUGGGAAAGACGACAUUGGUGACACACAUUUAUAAUCAGCUUCUAGAAAGACCAGGCACUUUCUGCCAUGUUUACUGGAUUACUGUUUCACAAGAUACUAACAUUAAUAAAUUGCAAAACAGUAUCGCCAAACGGAUUGGUUUAGAUCUUUCUAAUGAAGAUGAGGAGCUGUAUAGAGCUUCCAAAUUGUCAAAAGAAUUAACGAAGAAACAGAAAUGGGUUUUGAUUUUAGACGAUUUGUGGAAGGCUAUUGAGCUACACAAGGUGGGAGUCCCUAUCCAAGCUGUUAAGGGAUGCAAGCUGAUCGUUACAACACGAUUAGAAAAUGUUUGUCAGCCGAUGGGUAAACAACACACAAUCAAAGUGGAGCCUAUUUCGAAGGAAGAAGCUUGGGCUUUGUUUAUUGAGAGACUUGGACACGACACAGCACUUUCUCCGGAAGUGGAACAAAUUGCAAAAUCUGUGGCAAGGGAAUGUGCUGGCUUGCCGCUAGGAGUUAUAACCAUGGCUGCAACCAUGAGGGGAGUGGUUGACGUACGUGAGUGGAGGAAUGCGUUGGAGGAAUUGAGAGAAUCAAAAGUUAGAAAAGAUGAUAUGGAGCCUGACGUAUUCUACAUAUUGAGAUUUAGUUAUAACCAUCUAAGUGAUUCAGAACUGCAACAAAGUUUCUUGUACUGUGCAUUAUUCCCGGAGGACUUCAAGAUCCGUAGAGAGGAUUUGAUAGCUUAUUUGAUUGAUGAGGGAGUGAUAAAAGGGCUAAAGAGUAGGGAGGCAGAAUUUAACAAAGGCCACUCGAUCCUUAAUAAACUUGAAAGAGUCUGCCUAUUGGAAAGUGCUGAGGAAGGGUAUGUCAAGAUGAGAGUCUGCCUAUUGGAAAGUGCUGAGGAAGGGUAUGUCAAGAUGCAUGACUUGAUUAGGGACAUGGCCAUCCAAAUACUGCAAGAGAACUCUCAAGGCAUGGUCAAAGCAGGUGCACAGUUAAGAGAAUUGCCGGGAGAAGAGGAGUGGACAGAGCAUCUUAUGAGAGUUUCACUGAUGCAUAACCAGAUUAAAGAAAUUCCUUCCAGCCAUUCACCAAGGUGUCCCAGUCUUUCAACUCUAUUGUUACGUGGAAAUUCAGAGUUGCAAUUUAUAGCAGAUUCAUUUUUUGAGCAGUUGCGUGGACUCAAGGUUCUUGAUCUGUCUUAUACAGAUAUCACAAAACUGCCUGAUUCUGUCUCUGAAUUGGUGAGUCUCACUGCAUUAUUGCUCAUAGAAUGCAGGAAGAUAAGGCAUGUACCGUCAUUAGAAAAGCUCAGGGCACUGAAGAGGUUAGAUCUCUCUGGUACUCGGGCACUUGAAAAGAUUCCUCAAGGCAUGGAAUGUCUAUGCAACCUGAGGCAUCUUAGAAUGAAUGGAUGUGGUGAAAAGGAGUUUCCUAGUGGGUUGUUACCUAAGCUCUCUCACCUGCAAGUCUUUGUAUUGGAGGAGUGGAUCCUCCUGUACCAAAGAUAUUAGAGAGGGACACCCUGCUCCGUUAACUGUAAGAGGAAAGGAAGUGGGUUGUUUGAAGAAGUUGGAAAGUUUGGUAUGCCAUUUUGAAGGUUACUCAGACUACGUGGAGUUUAUCAAAUCUCGGGAUGAAACCAAAUCACUAACCACAUACCAAAUUCUUGUAGGACCACUGGAUAAGUAUCGUUAUGGUUAUGGUUAUGAUUAUGAUAAUGAUGGUUGCAGAAGGAAAACAAUUGUUUGGGGUAACUUGAGUAUCGACAGAGAUGGAGGUUUUCAGGUCAUGUUUCCAAAGGACAUUCAACAAUUGACUAUUGAUAAUAAUGAUGAUGCAACAAGUUUAUGCGAUUUUUUAUCUCUAAUAAAGAAUGCAACUGAACUGGAGGCUAUCAAGAUUUUUAGUUGCAAUAGCAUGAAGAGCUUGGUUUCAUCUUCUUGGUUCCGCUGUACUCCGCUACCAUCUCUAUCUUACAACGGUAUAUUUUCUGGUCUUAAACAGUUUAAUUGUUCUGGUUGUAAGAGCAUGAAGAAGUUGUUCCCUCUUGUCUUGCUGCCAAGCCUCGUAAACCUGGAAAAGAUUACAGUUAAAGGUUGUGAGAAAAUGGAGGAGAUAAUAGAUGAAACAAGACCAGAUGAAGAGGGGGUUAUGGGUGAAGAAACCAGCAGCAGCAAUAUCGAAUUCAAACUCCCAAAGUUAAGAUAUCUGAAAUUGGAGGGAUUACCAGAACUGAAAAGGAUUUGUAGUGCAAAACUGAUUUGCGAUUCUAUCGGAGUAAUUGACGUAAGAAAUUGCGAGAAGAUGGAGGAGAUAAUAAGUGGAACAAGAUCAGAUGAAGAAGGGGUUAUGGGUGAAGAAAGCAGCAGCAGUAGCAUCACCGAUCUCAAACUCACAAAAUUAAGUUCUCUAUCAUUUAUUGAAUUACCAGAACUGGAAAGCAUUUGUAGUGCAAAACUGAUUUGCGAUUCUCUCAAAGAGAUUGCAGUUUAUAAUUGUAAGAAGCUGAAAAGGAUGCCAAUUUGUCUUCCGUUGCUUGAAAAUGGCCAGCCAUCUCCUCCCCCUUCUCUUGAAGUAAUCUAUGCAACGCCAAAAGAAUGGUGGGAGUCAGUAGUGGAUUGUGAGAAGCUGAGGAGGUUGCCAAUUUGUCUUCCGUUGCUUGAAAAUGGCCAGCCAUCUCCUCCCCCUUCUCUUAAAUACAUCAGGGUAGAUUCAGAAGAAUGGUGGGAGUCAGUAGUGGAGUGGGAGCAUCCUAACGCUAAGGAUGUCCUUCGUCCCUUUGUACAGUAGUCAGUAGUCAGAUUUUGAAUGAGUGACAACAGUACUGCCCUUAAUAUAAUAUUAAAUUAAGAGUAAGCAUUGUUGUUUUAAUUGGAUUAAGCUUAAGCUAUGUGUCUACUUAAUGACUGAUGUGUUCAUUAUAUUACCUGGAAGACAUUUAUUUAGAGAGUAAAACAUCAAAUGCAAGACAGUGGUGGAGUGGGAGCUUCCUCCGUCCCUUUAUGGAGUUUUCAUACGUAAACAUUCAUGUGAAACUCUUGUGAUUAAAAGUAGCUCAUUGAUAUUAAAAUUAAUUAUUUUUUUUUUGUAGUUAGAACAGUUGUCAAUUAAGAUUUUUUUUUUCUCUAUCAAAAUCUGACCACUCUUUUCCUCUCUAGAAUUAAAAAUCUAAAACUAAAAAAAAAAAAUUAGACUAAAAUUGUCUUUUUGAAAAUUUGAGGGAUUGAAUAUUUAUAACUUGAAAAGCAUGAGGACCAAAAUGAACUUUUCAUGCUUAUUUUUAAAUUACCACCCAUUUUAUCGAUCCAUUUCUUUUAAUUUGAUUCUUUUUCUUUCAAUCUUAUAUGGGCUCAACAAAUUUAAAGUAAUUGUGUUUAAAUCUUAUAUGAAUAGUGUUUUGGUUCUGCAUUGUAUAUGCGACGACGCAUUGAAUUUCCUAUAAUAAUUAGAGUCAUUGCAAUUUGCAAGCAACUUUAUGUUUUUUUGAUCUAAAGGAAUAGACUGAACCAUAUUCACCUAAUCCUCAGAAAAAAAUGUGUCGAAUUGUCAAGAACACCAGAAUGUUCUUCUGCCUUUAGUGUCGUCUGCACUUGAUGAAUUGAAAUACCAAAUGCAUAAAGAAUGGGAAAUUUUACGAUUUUAUAAUCUAUUUUUACCAUUUAAAUUUAUAUUAUAUUUUUCAUAUCAUAUAAAAAAUAUAUUUUUAACAACUUUAUUACGUUCAAAGUAACACGCCGUCAUCUUCUCAAUGAUAUUACACAUGCCUGCGACAAAUGUGUGGUUUGGCCUUUACCACAUCUUUUAUUUUCUCCUCCUUAUUUUGUCUCUCUUUUCAUAGAAAAAUAAAAAAUUGUACUUUUAUUUUGUUUUUGUAUUUAAUUUAUUUUUUAUAUUUUUAAUUGUUAUAUAUUUUAUUUUAUUUUAAAAGUUUUUCCUUCAAUUUCAUACCUAUCAUUCUUUUAAUUGCUAUUUUUUAAUUAUUUUUCUAAUUACAUUUGGUUUUUAAUUUAAUCUUUUAGCAUUUGAUUUCAAAAUAUUUUUAUAUCAAAUUUAGUCAUUAUUUUUUUUUAUUAUUAUUUUGUUUUGAAGCCUUUUAUUUUGUAUUUUUUUUUCAAAUUCAUCCCUCAUUAUUUUGUUGAUUUAUAAUUUUGCUUUUUUAUUUUUUAGAGUUUGUUUUCUAUGUGGUUGGUCCCUAGCUCAUGAGCUUUUUUUAUUGUAUUUUUUUUAAAUCUAUCUCUCACUAUUUUGUUGAAUCUGAUCUAUAUCUUAGGCUUAUUUUUUUAAAAUUGAAUUUUUUUUCUCUUUCAUCUUUAUAUAUUUUUGAUUUAUUGGAGGUUAGUUUUCAUACCUUUAUUUUCAACUUCUUUUAUGUUUAAUUAUCUUAAUUUUAUGCUCAUAUUUAUGAAUUUAAUGUGUUGACAGGAGCGAAAUAGAUGAAAAAAAUUUAACUUAGAAUGUGAAAAAUCUUAAAUAUUACGGUGCAAUAAUACUGCACUAUCAAACAAGUGAAAUGAGACUAUUCAACACUUCAAGAGCAUCAAACAUCAAGGAAGAUCAGUGUAGUCUUAACUAAAAUAUUCACUUGCAACUUUUCCUAGUAGUCUGCAUGCUGUAAUUCUGGCCUUUCAAAGACCAAUAUUUUUUUGAUAAUUUCCUAUAAAUUAACUCUUCAGGUGUCAAAAAUAUAUGCAGUGAAACUCUAUAUAAACUUUUUAAAUAAUUGACAAAAAUUAAUGUUUUUAUAGCGUAGAUGGGAGAUGCAUGUUUGGCCAUUGCAAGAUGUUCUGUAGCAAAAAAUCUAGUGAGAAAUUUAUGAAAAAUGAAAAAAAAAAGUGCAAAAAGUUAUUCUAAAUUAAUACAUACAAUGCGUAUGUGGAAUUUUCUUAGCCUUGGCAUGACAAAUUAACAGUAGUGGUUUGUGGAAGAAGCCGCCAACUACCAUCGAUCAACUAGUAUAGGUGAGGGGUGGUAUUAAAAAUAAUUUUUUAAAAAUUAAAAUAUUAUUUUAAUAUAUUAAAAAAAAAUACGAUCAUUAUUUUAAUUUCAAACAUCCCUGAAGAAGUGUCAUUGCCAUGAUAAAUUUGACAGUAGUGGUUCCAACUUCCAACUGCAAUCAACCGAUUAAUAAUUGCGAGGGAGUGAUCCUCUGUUUUAAGGUUGAAUGUAUCUCAUCAUUCCACAAGACACUUCAUUUCGAUGCUGAUUGGUUAUGAGUAAAAGUUUUAAUUUUUUAAUUAAUAUUUUCUUUUAUUUUUUAAGAUAUAUGGUGAUGGUAUAAAAAAAAUAAAAAAAAAAUUAUUUUCAUAUAUUUUCAAAUAAAAAAUAUUUUUAAAAAUAAUCUUUACCAUAAUCUUUAAUAUUUCACACCAUACUUUUCUCUUUUCGUGCUCAAUAUUUUUUUUAUUUUUAAAUAUUUAUAUUUAGUAAUAGUUUUUUUUUUUCAUUAUGAUUUAGGUAUGGUUGUGAAAUUCAUGAUAAUAUAUUGGAUAUUUAGUUUUUUUCCAUUCUGGGGUCAUUUUUUAUUUGUAAUUCAUAUGAAUUAUUAGUUAUUUAGUGAUUUGGGAUAACCUAAUCAAGUCGUGUAAAGUAUAAAUUACAUCGCGGCUUGAAACGUAGAAGAAAGGUCAAGCAAUAUCCUUAUGGGAUUCUUCUCAUUUCCAUCGCGGCUUGAAAUAGAGAGCCCAAAUAAGCAAGGGUAGUCUUGGAAUGGUCGACAUAUAAUUUUAUGGCUGAGGUGGAAAAUGCAUGUUAGGCCUUUGCAAGAUGUUCUCUGGAUACAAUGAGUUGCUAGGGAAGAUUACGUUCAAUGUAUCUCAUCAGUCCAAAACACACUUCAUUUCACAGUAUCCUUUUCAUGGAUACAAUGAGUUGCUAGGGAAGAUUACGUUGUUCACUGGUAAUUUUUUUCCCAUUUCACUAAUAUAAAACGAGAGCCUUGAAGAAGUGGUUGAUGUAAAUUUUCCUUGUUUUUAUUGGAUUUUUUUUGUGUUAUUUUGAAUUUUAAGUCAAUUUUCUUUUAUUUUUAUGAUUUUGAUCCCAUAGUCUAUUUAAAAUACAUAUGAGUUUCUCAUAUGUGAUCUUACCAAAUCGAACCCACCAACCACACCUCAUAAACAGAUGAGUUUCUCACCAAACUUGACACUUUCAUGCAUCAAUGCUUUGGUGUCUUCUCUUUUGAUCUUCGUUGUUGAAGUUUUCCCCUCUUCAUUUUUGUGCAGACAUGAAGAUGUGAAUCACUAUGAGUUGAAGGCACCACAUCCAAAAAUGGCUCACCCCUGGCCAGACCACUUCCCACUGCAAGUAGCCAUGGGUGCAGCAGGUGACGAUGCUGAGGCCAAAUUAGUGCACAGAAGGUGGACUAAUGGUACCCUUAAUUUCUUAUGCUUCCUACCAGUUCACAGCACCUAAAUAAAAUCUUCAUCAACAUUACAAGUGCUGCUGGAAUCCUUGUAGGCUGACAUUAUUAGCUAUAAAAUGAUAAUCUUGUGGAUAAUUAUAUGAAAGUACCCUAAACUGAAAAGAAAAAAAGGUAUUCAAAGUAGAUGGUUUUAGAACUUAGUUAAUUACAACAAAUUCUAAAUUUUUAACAAAUUUGUUAUAUAUCGAGAUGAUUUCUUAUCUUUAAUAAAUAGAUCCAUUUUAAUAAUACAUUGCAGUUAAUUUAUCCCUAAUUUCACAAAUCAACUCGUAAAUACUUGUUGCAUAUAUAGUUCACAUAUGCAAGCCAAACACAAAUAAAAAUUCUUUUUCUUGAGUUUUCUUAUUCCAGCUUCCAAAUUCUUAUUUUGAUUAGUAAUGUAAAAAAUUAAUUAUUUUUGUUAGAUUUAUUUUUAAUAGUUUUAAUAUACUAAUAUAAAAAAUAAAAAAUAAAUAAUCUAAAAUAAUUAUUUUAAUAUAAAUAAUCUAAAAUACAUAUAUUAGAUUCCAGGUGGAUUUCCAGCUAAUAUGAACGUCAGCCAAGCCAUCAUCAAGAAGAGCAAGGUAAAACAAAACUCAUCAAUUGGGUCCCUAAUAUUUGAAACAAAUGAAAAUUUACAAAAGCAAUAAUAAUGAAGAAUUUAUAUGUGAGAAAGACUGAUUUUGGAAUCUGAAUCUCCCUAUGAUGGAUCAGAAUUGCAUAACAUAAUCGCCUUAUUACAUAUUUUCUUGGUAAAUAUCUUUAGAAAAAUCAUUAUUAGUUGUAAUAUUGGGAAAGAAUUAUAUUGAACUGAUUUACAUUUAUUUAUUUGUUGUAUUCAAAAUAAAAAUAAUAUAUGUCACAGCAAUUCUGGAAACCAGGCACCAAGAAACCCCGCAUCCUCGAAGAGCAAGAAGGCGGUGUCGUUUUCUUUGCCCCCUCUCUCUUCCGCCUCCUCUUCCUCCGGGUUUGGAUAUGCAAGUACUGGGAGUCAAAGGCAGAGAUUGAUUUUUAAGCUGAUGGGAAUACAUUCACCUGAUGGAAAAUUCUAAGGAUGCAUUGGAGUCGGGACUUUUAAAUGCCAGUAUUAUCCAAGGAUGAUUACCAAAGGAAAGGUUUUAAAUUCUGCCUUCCAUGCAUGGACUCUAGCCUCAGCAUUCCGAAUCUUACCAUCUGUUUUAAACUAUGUGUUUGAGUUGCUUGUAAUCUUCAAUGAAUCGAAAUAAUCGAAAUACAACCAAUGGAAUUUCGAUUAGCUUCCUUAAAAAGUUUCAAACCUUUUUACAUUGCCUGAAUAAGGGUUUCUUCAUUCAGUCUGAUUCUUAUUAGUUUGAUGACGUGAAUUUAACUAGCCUUUAUCUGAAAGUUUUGGGAGGUUUUGAAUUGAAUGAUAAGGAAGCACAGAUUAUCAGAAAGGUUUAAGAGAUUUGGUGAGGGAAAUUAGGGAAUCAAUAAGAAAUUAGGCUUAGAGGAAGACUAGCAAUUAAAGUCAUUGCAAUUUGCAAGCAACUUAAUGUUUUUUUACUCUAAAGAAAUAAAACAGAGGUGCGAAUCCCUUGUGCUUUCUUUGUCCUGUAUGCAAUGAUUACUCUCAUGGAAACCACCAUGCAAACUUCAUGUCACUUUCUGCUUUAUUUAUUCACACUAACUAUUCAACGAGUUCACAUUACACUGCUUUAAGUCCUCGAGUCUAAUGAAUUAAUGAAGAUAGAAACUUCAAAGAAAAUCACUUGGCUAGAAAUAACAUACUUCAGUACUGGAGUCUGCAGCUAGCAUGGAUAAAAAAACUAUCUCCUUCCUUGUUAGAGAGGGCUCUGACAUUGCUUCCCAUCUGGCACACUGUAACUUGCAGAUCCGUUUGGCUUUUGAGCUGUGGACUCCCCAUCACUUCAACUGAUUUGUUGUUUCUUUGACCACAAGAUGUUGAUUGUCUAGGGAAAUUCCAAGGACGCAUUGGGGUCAGAACUUUUAAUUGCCAGUAUUAUCCAAGGAUGAUUACAUACUGCAUGCUUCUAAGACAAAUAAAAAAUGUAUCAGUUCAUUUAAUGUAUUAGUUCUAAUUAAGUCAUUAAACAUAUUUGCUAGUUCGUGAUCAUUCCAAUUUUCUUGUUGCUGCUGUUGUCCAUUAACUCUCGUAUUUCUUGACUUAUCUGUCAGUAAAAUGAUUAAUGUUUCUUUCAAUUUUUAUGCCUGCAUAACGUAUCAGGAUAAAUACAGCAUUAGUGAUGCGAUCCAAUCAUUAAAGAAUCCAUUGGAAGUUCCUGUUAGUCCAGUUACUAGGUUUAGAGUCAGCUAAGAAGUUCAAAGAAGCUUUCAAUAGACUUCUUCAGGAGACAUGGGCUAAGAUAGACUUCAAGAGGAUUUGUAAUAAUAAAGAGCAAGCCUUGAUUAAUCUGAUUAAUGUUCAAGAGGGGCUUGUUGGUAGAACCAAGACCAUUACACAAGGAUUGAGAGAAGAAGACUAAAUUCGGAGAGUUUAACCUUUUGUUACUCUUUUGGUCAUAAUUGGAGCUAUAGAUAUAUUUUUUAUGUGAUUCAAGUUGUUCUGAAAACUAGACUUCCAUACCUUUCCAACGGUAUAUGGCAUGUCUUCUAAUUCAUUAAGAUGAGAGAGAACCAUUUGUUUUAAGUUGAACUUUUGCUGCUGCUCCCAUACAAAAUGCGGAAACAACAAAAUUAUCUUAUUUAAUUUGUUGGGCUAUCAAACUUCAUUUAUUUUGAGAGGAGACAUUUUAUUUAGGUCUUAGACUUGUUUAUUUUAAUUAGUUUGGGCUAGUUUUAACUUGGGUUGAUUAUUAUUUAAAUUAGGCUUAUGUGAGACCCAUUAGGAAAACUAGGGUUUUGGCUUGGAGUUUAAAUAUUCUUUAGGAAUAAUUUUAGGGCAGACUUGUGAUGAUAUUUUCAGCAUUGUAGCUGAUUUUUUGGUUGCUCAAUCUUGGUUCUUGAUUGAACUUUCAACUCUUCAAAGAAUUGACUAUUUUUUGUUGUGAAUUUAUACUUUCUUUGCUCGUCUCCAGGUGUAGGCGUUGUGAUCGAAUUGGUUUAUAUUCUUGUUGCUUUUGAGCAAGUUUUUCAUUGUGAUAAGCUCAUUCAAAUCUUAACAAACUUGGAUUAGAUUGAUUUUGAAGUCGUGAAUUCCAUUAAAUUCCGCUAGGAUUCGUAUCACUUGGUAUUGUUGCCGACAAGAGUUUGAAAAAGCCUCUCUAUACCUCUCCACGUUUGAACAAGGGAGAAGUUCUAUAUUUAGAAACACAUUCAUGCAGGUACUCCCUCUCUUUUUUUCUUUUUUUUUUGUGCUUUCUAAUUUGAAAAAAUAUGUUAAAAAAUAAAAUAAAUCAUAAAAACACUAAAUCUAUAUAAGUUUAUGUACAUCACAAACAGAUUUUGGAGCUUAAAAAAAUUCCCUUGUGAAAUAAAUUAAAUAAAUAUGAAGUUUCAGUUUUCUUCAUCUUAUGUUCUUAUUUUUUGAGAGGGUCCUUGGCUACUAGAAACAAGAAUCACACCCCUAUGGGUUCAGUAGCUUUAUUCAGCCAUGCCAUCUCAGAUUCAUCCAAAUAAGGGGCCAGAAUAUCCCUACAUCUCCCAUGGUAGCUGUUAAGCCAAUUUAUCACUUCAGGACCUAGACGGGUAAAGUCGAUCAUCUUCGUUUGAUAUGAAUUUUGUGCUCGAAAGAUAAGUAGCCCUAUUGUCACCAAAAUUGAAUUUUGUAUCGGCCUCCUUGACGAUAAGCACAUUCUCCAAUCUUAUCCCGAAGUUCCCAUCCUCAUAGUAUCCAGGUUCAUCUGUUACAGUCAUGGAAGCUAAUUACGAGCAUGUGGUCUGUUACAGUUCACCAAAAUCCUUCAUGUACAUUUAGGUAUGAUCCAAUACCAUGACCAGUGCCAUGUCGAUAAUCAAGAGUCCAAGACCAUCCUUCCAUAAAGGAAUUCGAGCAAGAAUGUCAAGGGCAUGACCGUUAGUUCCGUUGAGAAAACAAGCAUUACCCAAAGCAAUGUGACCCUUGAGAACCUGGUUUGCUGGAGACGAAGUUGAUGAUGGUGUCCUGGCUAGCCAAUGCUACCCCCUGUUUCUGUUCUUUGUUUUUUUUCGGUGUUUUUUGGUUUUUUAUCUAUUAAAUAUAAAUUAUAUCUUGAGAAUUCAUCUAAUAAUUUAAAAUAUUAAAUUAAAAUAAUUCUUUGACAUAUUCAAUCUGAUAAAUACAUUUUGCCUUAAAAAAAAAAAGGGCAGCACGCGUUUUUUUCAAUUAUGGAAAAAAAAAUUAUUUUUUUUUUUCCUGAGAAGAAAUAACGAUCCAUCUUAAUUAAAGGCCUUCAGAUUUCAACACAUGAAGGGAUGCAUACAUAUCCCAGGAAUUAACAAUGGAGGAGGGAUAACUUUUAAUUGCCACUGAUUUCUUGACAAAACGCACCGUACUAAGCUGUUGUUAAGCCGUUACUUAUGCGCACCGUUUCAAUAAAUUGUAAUUCUCAUUACUGAGAAGGUUGUCAAAUCAGCACCAUCUUCUGCUCUGCCUAAAUAUCGUGGCAGUUGUAACAGAAUGGGCAUGCAAAAAAUGAAUGAGAACUGCUGUGGAUUCCCUCUUUUCUCUCCGUCUUUCUCUCGCUCCCGCUCUCUCCUUCUCUGUCUUCUCAAUCUUUCAGGUUCAACACAUAUUGGAGGAUUCUUAAUCGGGUUGUUACCUAUAGAUCGUACGUGAUCUUAUACACAUGUGAUGUAUGCAGGAAUAAUAUUGGUCUUUAAAUGGUUUUAUUUCUUAAAUAAAUCAAAGAAUUUAAGUUCUUUUCUUUUCUUUUUUUGUUUAAAAACAAUCUACUAGACUACUUUAUCCGUACCAAAGUAUUUGAGCAAUCGAAACAAAAUUAUUGUGUCACGGCCUGAUUCUCGGAUCCAUAACUAACACAUAGACAAGAUUCCCUUCCAAGAUCCUAUACUUAUAUGAAUAUAAAAUAUACAUAUUUAAAAGAGACUUGAAAAGAAGGUACAACCUGUAAUGUUUUGAAUUAAAAGAGAUAGGAAAAGGCAACAAAGCCCUUGGAGGCUUAAAUAGAGGGUAUAAAAGAAUGAGGGGUAUAAUGAGAUAUUCUGGACAGAAUUAAGGAUUAAUUAUGGUCAGAAUUUUAGUAUAGUCAUGGAUUUAUGAUAUUUUUAGUUUGGUCUUUCAAUUUGACAAAAAUUACAAUUUGACCCUUAAAAAUAUGAAAAAUUACAAAUUGGUCCCUAGCUUUAAUAUUAGCUUUUGCAGAUUGGUUUGAUGAAUAAUUGAGGGUUAUUUAGUGAAUUAUUACCAAAUUUAUUAUUUGUUUUAUUAUGGAUUAGAUUUCGGAAAAACCGUUAGAUUUUUUAGUUUUUGAAAAAAUAACCAGUUUAAUCUAAAAAUAUAUAUAGGGAUCUUAUACCAGAUAUUGGAGGAUUCUUAAUCGGGUUGUUACCUAUAGAUCGUGAUCUUAUACCAGCUUUGUGAUGUAUGCAGGAAUAAUAUUGAUCUUUAAAUGGUUUUAUUUCUUAAAUAAAUAAAAGAAUUUAAGUUAAUCUCAUUUCUUUUUUGUUUAUAAAAAAUCUACUAGACUACUCUAUCCGUACCAGAGUAUUUGAGCAACCAAAAUAAAAUUACUAUGUCACGACUCGAUUCUUGGAUCCAUGACCGGCACAUAGCUAAGAUUCCCUACAAGGUUCUAUAUUUCUGUGAACCCAAACUCACAUGCAAACUUAUACUUUAAAUAACUCAAUAGGAGUUCAACGCAACAGUAAUAACAAAACUAACUUUAUAAUAUAAUUUGAUUAUCUUAAUACAAGACUUAAUUCAAAUUACACCCAAAAAAACAUGUUUUGAAGAUCCAACAAAAGUAACCUGAUAAUAAGUUAUAAGCCUAAAAUAAAUAAAUAAUAUGAGGGUGAUUUCAACAACUCAGUGAGUAGGUAACGUUUAAUAUACAUAUACGAGCUAGGUAAUACAACAAUAAGUAAUAUAUAUAUAUAUAUACACACACACACACACACACCCACGCGCGCGCGCACAACUAUGGCUUUAUGUUCUUAUAAGAAGAUUUCUCAAAUAGGUCAUAACAAGAAUAUCAUAAGGUAAAGCUCCUCAGAAAAUCAAAAUGUAAUAAGCAUGAGGCUUCAUAUUGUGGGAUGAUCAGUCCACACAGGUUGGUGACUCCCCCGACCAACUAGGGUUUUAGAUACGAUGUGCACAAAGACUAAUACUACGUUGUUAGCAUGGGUAUUCUGACUGGCAUACCAUAGGUUCAUAUCAUAAUCAAAUAAAGAUAUUCAUAUUUCAAGGCACAACUUAUAACAUCAAUCAAAUGAUGAGCUUUGAACUCAGAAGUCAAUUCAAAAAUAUGUAUUGGUUCAUAUCAAGAAUUUAGAUUUAAUAAUUGAUCAUUUUUUAUCGUAACAAAAAUAAUAUUCAACAUAUAUUAUCAAAAAGCAUGAUCCAAAUCAUAUUAACAACUUAAAUAUUUGUACCAUAUGAAAAAUUAUUCACUCACUUAACUGAAAAGCAAACAGAACUCGAAAGUAGAUACCGAAGGAAAGCCUACUGAUGUGUCUCAGGUAGAAUAUCAUGAUUAUUUAAAUACAAAGGAGACAUAUUAAAAAAAAGACUAAAAAAGAACGUACAACUUAUUUAAUACACUUAACUAAGAGUUUGUUCCAUAACCUUAUAUGUUUUGAACUAAACUAGUCUUUUUUUUUUCAAAACCCAAAAAUUAAACGGUUUUCUUGAAAUCUAAUUCAUAAAAAAACAAAUAAUAAGACUCGAUAAUAAUUAAUUAAAUAAUCCUUAAUUAUUCAUCAAACCAAUCUGAAAAGGCUAAUAUUACAGCUAGGGACAAAAUAGAAUUUUAGGAGUCAAAUUAAUUGGAGGACCAAAUUGAAAAUAUCAUAAAUUCAUAACUAUAUUGGAAGUUUGCCCAUAAAUCAUUCUCAAUUUUGUCUAGAAUCUCUAAUUAUGCUGGAAUUUUUGUUAAAUUUUUAGGGGUCAAAUUGUAAUUUUUUCAAAUUAGAGGGUCAAACUGAAAAUGUUAUAAAUUCAUAAAUAUAUUGGAAUCUUGCCCAUAAUUCACCCUCAAUUCUGUCCAGAAUCUCUAAUUAUGCUACAGGGACCAUUUUAUAAUUUUUUCAAAGUUCAGGGACUAAACUGUAAUUUUCAUAAAUUAAUAGAUCAAACUGAAAUUUCAUCAUCUUCAACCUUAAACUCAGAUUUUUUCAUAGAUUACCUCCUGAUUUACCAAAAUCUCUAACUCAAACUCAUCAUUUAAACAGAUCAUAACUCAAAAUCAUCAUUUUUAUCUAAAAUCUUUCAAAAUCAACUAAAUAACUCAUUACCCAAAAUAAUUAACCCAUAAUAUUCAAAUCAAUUCAUCAAUCAACUCAAAACAAAAUCUUCAAAAUCUAAUCUUCAACAAAACAGUAAAUCAAAGCUAAAAAAACAUAUUUAUACACAUCAAAAUAUAAAUAUUACAUUUUAAACUUAUUUUCUCUAACUCUCUUCUCUUUUAUUUAUCUUUCCCUCUUUCCUCCUCUUCUUCUUCCUACCCUUUUCUUUUCUCUUGCUUGUUCUCACUCUCAAAUUUCAAAUCCCUCUUUCUUUUUUCCUUCUAUUUAUACUUAGUAAGGUUUUAUUCAAUUACUAAAAUACUCCUUAUUCAUUUAUAUAUACUUUUAAACCUUCAAAGGUUUUGUUGCCUUUUUUCCUAUUCUCUUUUAUUUUCAAAACAUUACACACUGCAACUUUGAAUAUUGGGAAAUCUGGCAUUUGAUGGGAGAAUUAAAAAAAAUAAAAUUAAAAGUGAAGAAAAGUGUGAAUUUGAUAGGAGAACAGAGGAGUAUAGAGCAGCAGAGCCUAAUAAUUCAUAACAAUUUUAGGAUGUGAGUAUAGAGAAAAAUUAGAGAAAAUAAAGAUGGAGGGAGCAAAAGAAGGGUGGCUGAUUGUCUUUAGAGAAUGCUAUUUUAGAUUUAAGAUUAAAAAAAAUACUUAUUUAUACUUAUUUUUUUUAAGUGUUAAAUAAUGAUUUAGUUGAAUUGGUUCGGUUAAACCAAUUUUAAAAAUUAAAAACCUAAACUGAAGUCAACCAGAAAUUUUUUUGAUUUUUUAAUUAGUUAAUUUUUUUUCUUUUCAGUUCAGUGUUUUUUUUUUAUUUUUUUUAUUUAAUCAGUUAUUCCAUUUUUUCCUCAUCCCUACUAGCAGCUGACCAGAGUACUGUUAUUUCUGGCCAAGUGAUUUUCUUUGGAGUUUCGAUCUUCAUUAAUUGUUCUCAUGAAUCUGGUUUUUUUUAAUUAAAAAGUACAUAACACCUUUGUUUUAGCAUCUAACAGUAGACUCGAAGGAUUUGAAGCAGUGUAAUUAUGUGAACACGUUGAAUAGUUAGUGCGAAUAAAUAAAGCAAUAGAUUCAUGAAAGUGACAUUGGUGGUUUCCAGGAGGCAGUGAGACUAGUCUUUGCAUACAGCACAAAGAAAGCACAAGGCAUUUACAAUUAUUGACUAAAAACAAGCUUGCUGUUUACCUUUGGUAGGUGGAGUUGUAGCUUCCAGCCAAUUUCUAUUGACUUCUCCAAAGAAAAAAACAUAAAGUUGCUUGCAAAUUGCAGUGACUUUUUUAAUAGCUAGUCUUCCACUGAGAGAGAGAUCUCUCAGUAUACCAUUGAUUUCCUAAUUUCCCUCACCAAAUCUCUUAAACCUUUCUCAUGAUCUGUGCUUCCUUUUUCUGAUUGAAUCGAAUCAUCACGUAUUCUGUUCUUGAUCUGUAUACCAUUGAUUUCCUGAUUUCCGUCACCAAAUUUCUUAAACCUUUCUCAUGAUCUUUGCUUCCCUUUUCCUAAUUUCCCUUUUCUGACUUCUGCCAAUCAUCUCGUAUAGUGUUCUUGAUCUGUCUCUUUCUU
RNAcentral lists this long non-coding RNA (16913 nucleotides) under Populus trichocarpa (black cottonwood). RNAcentral describes it as "long non-coding RNA (PTRI_LNC004096)". The record is from RNAcentral. Lineage: Eukaryota; Viridiplantae; Streptophyta; Magnoliopsida; Malpighiales; Salicaceae.